GCGCCGGUAGCCCAGUUGGCGUAGCAGUGGGACGGUACCUCACGGUCCCGGGUUCAAGUCCCGGCCGACGUU
Phthorimaea operculella (potato tuberworm) is the source of this 72-nucleotide non-coding RNA. The record is from the annotation of a GenBank genome assembly. Lineage: Eukaryota; Metazoa; Arthropoda; Insecta; Lepidoptera; Gelechiidae.